This 913-nucleotide ribosomal RNA is filed under the name uncultured archaeon. Its description in RNAcentral is "bacterial SSU rRNA". It matches the Rfam family "Archaeal small subunit ribosomal RNA", at positions 1 to 922 of the family's 1478-position model. The record is from RNAcentral.
UUCCGGUUGAUCCCGCCGGAGGCGACCGCUUUUGGAGUUCGAUUAAGCCAUGCGAGUAGAAAGAAAUUAGAUUCUUUGCGAACUGCUCAGUAACACGUGGAUAACCUGCCCUAUGCUCUGGAAUAACCUCGGGAAACUGAGAAUAAUACCGGAUAGAUCACAACGCCUGGAACGGUGUGUGGUUGAAAGAUUACGGCAUAGGAUGGGUCUGCGGCGUAUCAGGUUGUAGGGGGUGUAACGGACCUCCUAGCCAUCGACGCGUACGGGUGUUGGGAGACAUAGCCCGGAGAUGGAUUCUGAGACACGAAUCCAGACCCUACGGGGUGCAGCAGGCGCGAAAACUUCACACGGCAGGAAACUGUGAUGAGGGAACUCCAAGUGCGUGCACUUAGUGUGCGCUUUUGUUGACUAUUAAUCGGUCAAUGAAUAAGGGCUGGGAAAGACCGGUGCCAGCCGCCGCGGUAAUACCGGCAGCUCAAGUGGUCGUCGCUUUUAUUGGGCCUAAAACGUCCGUAGCCUGUUUGGUAAAUCUGUGGGUAAAUCAACCAGCUUAACUGGUUGAAUUCUGCAGAGACUGCCAGACUAGGGACCGGGAGAGGUGUGGGGUACUCUAGGGGUAGGGGUAAAAUCCUGUCAUCCUUAGAGGACCACCAGUUGCGAAGGCGCCACACUGGAACGGAUUCGACGGUCAGGGACGAAGCCUAGGGGCACGAACCGGAUUAGAUACCCGGGUAGUCCUAGGUGUAAACGCUGUGAACUUGGUGUCGGGGAUCCGUCAUGGGUCCCCGGUGCCGGAGUGAAGAUGUUAAGUUCACUGCCUGGGGAGUACGGUCGCAAGGCUGAAACUUAAAGGAAUUGGCGGGGGAGCACUGCAACGGGAGGAGCGUGCGGUUUAAUUGGAUUCAACGCCGGG